This 460-nucleotide ribosomal RNA is filed under the name uncultured bacterium. Its description in RNAcentral is "partial 16S ribosomal RNA". It matches the Rfam family "Bacterial small subunit ribosomal RNA", at positions 338 to 795 of the family's 1533-position model. The record is from RNAcentral.
CCUACGGGUGGCAGCAGUGAGGAAUAUUGGUCAAUGGCCGAGAGGCUGGACCAGCCAAGUCGCGUGAGGGAAGACGGCUCUACGGGUUGUAAAUCUCUUUUGUCGGGGAGCAAAGCGAACUAUGUGUGGUCCAUUGAGAGUACCCGAAGAAAAAGCAUGGGCUAACCCCGUGCCAGCAGCCGCGGUAAUACGGAGGAUCCGAGCGUUAUCCGGAUUUAUUGGGUGUAAAGGGAGCGUAGAUGGGUUGUUAAGUCAGUUGGGAAAGAUUGCAGCUCAACCGUAAAAUUGCAAUUGAUACUGGCAGCCUUGAGUACAGUUGAGGUAGGCGGAAUUCGUGGUGUAGCGGUAAAAUGCUUAGAUAUCACGAAGAACUCCGAUUGCGAAGGCAGCUUGCUAAACUGCCACUGACAUUGAUGCUCGAAAGUGUGGGUAUCAAACAGGAUUAGAUACCCGGGUAGUC